Scophthalmus maximus (turbot) is the source of this 1586-nucleotide long non-coding RNA. RefSeq lists it as uncharacterized. The transcript is spliced from 2 exons. Lineage: Eukaryota; Metazoa; Chordata; Actinopteri; Pleuronectiformes; Scophthalmidae. The record is from RefSeq and is a predicted model, not a curated record.
CAGGCAGCAGAUCAAAGGACGUGCGUGGCACUGGUCAGGUAAUGGUGGAUAAGGAGAUCAGGGGGUAACAUCUCAUGUUUGACACGAAAGAUCCUGAACCUCCCUCGUGUAAUCUCGGACGUCAGAGGUGGGGACGUUCAGCUCGACGACGCUAAGCCUGCUUCGGGAACAGCGCCUACAACCGGCAGGACCUCCGAGCGCCAAGCUGUCCGACCUUAUGCCUGUGCACAAUGUCUGUAUUAUUGACGUGUGACGCGGAACAACCUCUUACAUUGUUCAAAUAUUACAUAAAUAAUUUUAGAUUAAGUAUCCCAGCUCAUUAUUGACAUACACAUUUAUUUUUUUAUGUGCGCAUUAAGCACUACGACAAAAACAUUCAAACAGGCAUAUUGACGAACAUGGGGAGCUGCGGGCUCUCUUUGUUUUGGCUCCUGGUUCGCUUCACAUUUAGUUUUUCUACACUUCCACAGAAGGGAGAAGAAUGGAUCAUAAUACUGUCAAUGUAAUAGUUAACUUUAUUUAUACAGCAGCUUUCAAAACGUAGUUAUGGAGUAAUUUGCAUGAAAGAAUCAAGAACAGAGGCAAGCAAUAGGAAACAAAGGCAGGUUAAAGAUCAUACAAAUAUAGGCCACAUUAAGACAGAAAUGUUACAUGAUGAGAAAAGAGUAACAUGAAAUGAAACAAACUUAAAUGAUUAAAAUCAAUAAGAUAAAAUAUUUGUUUGGCAAAAGGUAAACGAAUGUCCUCAGGGAAAGAGUUCAAUCAGGUGACCUCAGGUUAGAACACAUAUGGUGUCAGAAGAUUUUAAAUGUUCCCCAAGAACAAGUCCAGAACGGGAUUUAAAAGUCAUCAAUAAAAUCUUAAAAUCAAUUCUAAAAUUGACCAGAACCCAUUGAUGGUUAUUAGUGCUUCUCAGUCAAAACGCUACUGCUGAAAAUGGAUCUCUAACUCCUGUCUUUUCCCCUUGCUAUGAAGCUACCACUAUUUAAUUUGUUCUUAAACAUCAAUACUGCUUUCCAGGAAGCUGGGGGUGCAUGUAGUAAUGUGACACCUGGAGUAGAAGAUCCCCAAAGAGCACCUAAUUAUUUUUUUCGUUCUAGCUUCUGAGGUAUGAAUAUUUCCUGUUUCUCUCAAUCACCUGUGAUAGUGAACUAAAUAUAUUUGGGUUUCGAAACCGUAUGGACAAAACAUGUCAUCUAAAGAUGUCACCUUGGGUUCUGGAAAGUAUUUUUUGUCUGAAAUUUUGUACUACAUCUGGGGUGCACACAAUAGAGCAGUGAGAAGCUCUUUACACAUUUCAGAAUUCAGGAGAUGAAAACAAUCUUCUUUUGUGUUUGCACAAAUUACCUGAAUAACUUUGGGUUUUUGGACUGUUCGUCAGACAAAACAGGACAUUUCUUUUCUUCCCAUUAUUUGUCAUUUGUACUUGUUUUGUGUCUCUUUCAGUCUGGGGCCUUCUGCAUGUCUUUCCCCAUCUGCUCAUUGUUUUAUGUUAUGCUUAUUCAGUUGCCUGGAUGAUUUAAUAUAUUUCCGUCAUUGGUUGCUUCUAUAAUUAUAAUAAUAAAGUACAAUUUAUAACAAACAAA